GUAGUGGUGGGUCAGUGGUAGAACUCUUGUCUUCCAUGCAGGAGACCCGGGUUCGAUUCCUGGCCAGUGCA
This 71-nucleotide transfer RNA is filed under the name Loxodonta africana (African savanna elephant). It matches the Rfam family "tRNA". From Rfam's summary of the family: Transfer RNA (tRNA) molecules are approximately 80 nucleotides in length. Their secondary structure includes four short double-helical elements and three loops (D, anti-codon, and T loops). Further hydrogen bonds mediate the characteristic L-shaped molecular structure. tRNAs have two regions of fundamental functional importance: the anti-codon, which is responsible for specific mRNA codon recognition, and the 3' end, to which the tRNAs corresponding amino acid is attached (by aminoacyl-tRNA synthetases). tRNAs cope with the degeneracy of the genetic code in two manners: having more than one tRNA (with a specific anti-codon) for a particular amino acid; and 'wobble' base-pairing, i.e. permitting non-standard base-pairing at the 3rd anti-codon position. Lineage: Eukaryota; Metazoa; Chordata; Mammalia; Proboscidea; Elephantidae. The record is from Rfam by way of RNAcentral.